AAGAAUUGCGAAUGGUCAUCA
RNAcentral lists this microRNA (21 nucleotides) under Schmidtea mediterranea. RNAcentral's name for it is "sme-miR-219-3p". Its record names the gene sme-miR-219-3p. The record is from miRBase by way of RNAcentral. Lineage: Eukaryota; Metazoa; Platyhelminthes; Tricladida; Dugesiidae.